AGCGGANGAAAAGAAACCAACCGGGAUUGCCUCAGUAACGGCGAGUGAAGCGGCAAGAGCUCAAAUUUGAAAUCUGGCCCCUCCGGGGUCCGAGUUGUAAUUUGCAGAGGAUGCUUCGGGUGCGGCCCCUGUCUAAGUGCCCUGGAACGGGCCGUCAGAGAGGGUGAGAAUCCCGUCUUGGGCAGGGUGCCCGUGCCCGUGUGAAGCUCCUUCGACGAGUCGAGUUGUUUGGGAAUGCAGCUCUAAAUGGGUGGUAAAUUUCAUCUAAAGCUAAAUACCGGCCGGAGACCGAUAGCGCACAAGUAGAGUGAUCGAAAGAUGAAAAGCACUUUGAAAAGAGAGUUAAACAGCACGUGAAAUUGUUGAAAGGGAAGCGCUUGCGACCAGACUCGGCCCCGGGGUUCAGCCAGCACUCGUGCUGGUGUACUUCCCCGGGGGCGGGCCAGCGUCGGUUUGGGCGGCCGGUCAAAGGCCCCAGGAAUGUGUCGCCCUCCGGGGCGUCUUAUAGCCUGGGGUGCAAUGCGGCCAGCCCGGACCGAGGAACGCGCUUCGGCACGGACGCUGGCGUAAUGGUCGCAAACGACCCGUCUUGAAACACGGACCAAGGAGUCUAACAUCUACGCGAGUGUUCGGGUGUCAAACCCGUACGCGCAGUGAAAGCGAACGGAGGUGGGAGCCCCGCAAGGGGCGCACCAUCGACCGAUCCUGAUGUCUUCGGAUGGAUUUGAGUAAGAGCGUAGCUGUGGGGACCCGAAAGAUGGUGAACUAUGCCUGAAUAGGGCGAAGCCAGAGGAAACUCUGGUGGAGGCUCGCAGCGGUUCUGACGUGCAAAUCGAUCGUCAAAUUUGGGUAUAGGGGCGAAAGACUAAUCGAACCAUCUGGUAGC
This 886-nucleotide ribosomal RNA is filed under the name Aspergillus ustus. Its description in RNAcentral is "LSU rRNA". It matches the Rfam family "Eukaryotic large subunit ribosomal RNA", at positions 49 to 951 of the family's 3401-position model. Lineage: Eukaryota; Fungi; Ascomycota; Eurotiomycetes; Eurotiales; Aspergillaceae. The record is from RNAcentral.